Molecule: small nucleolar RNA, 149 nt
Organism: Lathyrus oleraceus (garden pea)
Lineage: Eukaryota; Viridiplantae; Streptophyta; Magnoliopsida; Fabales; Fabaceae
Product: small nucleolar RNA snoR127
Exons: 1
Source: RefSeq, a predicted model, not a curated record
CUGGAAUGAUGUUAAUUAGCCAAAUCAAACAAUAAUGUGCUCCAUGACGCAACCGACUUUAUCCGUUUGGAUCAUGUUGAUGACUCUCAUGUUGAAGCGCAUUUCUCUGAUGAUAAACAAAGAGAUUGGUUUUUCUAUUCCUGACCAGA